CCUACGGGUGGUAGCAGUGGGGAAUAUUGGACAAUGGGCGAAAGCCUGAUCCAGCCAUGCCGCGUGUGUGAAGAAGGCCUUCGGGUUGUAAAGCACUUUCAGUGGGGAAGAAAGCCUUGGGGCUAAUACCCUCGAGGAAGGACAUCACCCACAGAAGAAGCACCGGCUAACUCCGUGCCAGCAGCCGCGGUAAUACGGAGGGUGCGAGCGUUAAUCGGAAUUACUGGGCGUAAAGCGCGCGUAGGCGGUCUGAUAAGCCGGUUGUGAAAGCCCCGGGCUCAACCUGGGAACGGCAUCCGGAACUGUCAGGCUAGAGUGCAGGAGAGGAAGGUAGAAUUCCCGGUGUAGCGGUGAAAUGCGUAGAGAUCGGGAGGAAUACCAGUGGCGAAGGCGGCCUUCUGGACUGACACUGACGCUGAGGUGCGAAAGCGUGGGUAGCAAACAGGAUUAGAUACCCUGGUAGUC
Molecule: ribosomal RNA, 465 nt
Filed under: Vreelandella stevensii
Lineage: Bacteria; Pseudomonadati; Pseudomonadota; Gammaproteobacteria; Oceanospirillales; Halomonadaceae
Description: partial 16S ribosomal RNA
Rfam family: Bacterial small subunit ribosomal RNA
Source: RNAcentral